CAGACAAUUAGCUACAUGGCUGAGCGGGUGGUAGGAACUGGUUCAUUUGGGAUUGUCUUCCAGGCUAAGUGCUUGGAGACUGGAGAGACUGUGGCCAUCAAGAAGGUGCUGCAGGAUCGCCGUUACAAGAACCGUGAGCUGCAGCUUAUGCGCUCCAUGGACCACCCCAAUGUCGUCUCUCUGAAGCACUGCUUCUUCUCGACCACAAGCAGGGAUGAGCUGUUCCUGAACCUUGUCAUGGAGUAUGUCCCUGAGACUCUAUACCGUGUGCUCAAGCACUACAGCAAUGCCAACCAGCGGAUGCCGCUUAUCUAUGUCAAGCUUUACAUGUAUCAGCUUUUUAGAGGGCUAGCUUAUGUUCAUACUGUUCCAGGAGUUUGCCACAGGGAUGUGAAACCACAAAAUGUUUUGGUUGAUCCUCUAACCCAUCAAGUCAAGAUAUGUGACUUUGGAAGUGCAAAAGUUCUGGUACCUGGUGAACCCAAUAUAGCAUACAUAUGCUCUCGCUACUAUCGUGCUCCUGAGCUCAUAUUUGGCGCAACUGAAUAUACAACUUCAAUAGACAUAUGGUCAGCUGGAUGUGUUCUUGCAGAGCUACUUCUUGGUCAGCCUCUGUUUCCAGGAGAGACUGCGGUUGAUCAGCUAGUGGAGAUUAUCAAGGUUCUUGGUACUCCAACCCGUGAGGAAAUUCGGUGCAUGAACCCCAACUAUACUGAGUUCAGGUUUCCUCAGAUUAAGGCUCAUCCUUGGCACAAGAUUUUCCACAAGAGAAUGCCCGCUGAAGCUAUAGAUCUUGCCUCCCGCCUUCUCCAGUAUUCACCAAACCUACGUUGCACUGCUCUUGAUGCAUGUGCACAUUCCUUCUUUGAUGAGCUACGUGAGCCGAAUGCACGCUUGCCGAAUGGCCGCCCAUUCCCUCCUCUGUUCAACUUCAAACCUGAACUAGCGAAUGCCUCUCCAGAGCUCAUCAACAGGCUUGUUCCGGAACAUGUUCGACGGCAAAAUGGCCUCAACUUCGCCCAUGCUGGGAGCUAG
RNAcentral lists this ribosomal RNA (1035 nucleotides) under Triticum aestivum (bread wheat). RNAcentral describes it as "partial small subunit ribosomal RNA". The record is from RNAcentral. Lineage: Eukaryota; Viridiplantae; Streptophyta; Magnoliopsida; Poales; Poaceae.